AUGCCCUUGUCCCACGCCGCGUUCAAUCCCCACACAAAUCCUGGGCUUCUUUCUCCCAAUCCGCGCAGCCGCCGCGCCCGGCACCCCUCUCUCCUCCCGGAAGCCUCCGUCUGCGAGGUCAUACCACUGCCGGGGUGUCGCGCAAGAGGUCAGGGUCCCGCCGCCACCGCGAGCCAUGGGACGCCCGUUGGUGAGCCCCCGUGCGGGGAGCACAGCCGACGGGGAGCACGGUGUCAACAAGCCACGAUGAGGUAGAGUUUUCUCACUAGGGUGGAGGAGCAGGGGAGGGCCGGGAGGCCGCCGGUCGGGGAGCAGCGAGCCCCGAGCUCUAGGCGCCGCACGCAUUGCGGGACGGAGAAGAGGUCGGCGUGGGGCGCAAGGAGCAGCAGGGGAAGAAUGGUGGGGCUUUCAUCUCCUCUCUCGUCGCCACUCCUGCUACCUCGCCCCUGGUACUCGCUCGGCCGGCGUAUGGGCGGCGGCUGGGACGUUGGCCCUCGGCACAAACUCGACGCCCGAAUCUAGCUGACGAGCCCCGUGGGCCGUGGUUGGUUUCUCCUCCUACCUCCAGAUCCCCUCUUGCUCACUCUCUUCUCCCCAUAUUUCCAUCUGUUGUUUGCGUUCCUUCAGUUUGCAGGUAUUGUGGGAAGCAAAUGUACGUGGGUGAGUUAUUUAUUUUGUGUGAAGGUCUCUUCCAUGCUGGUCUAUCUAUUCCUUGACGCUCUCUGUUCAUGACUGACACUGUUCUUGUUUUAUCUUUUUUACCUUUGCACGGAGCUGUUCUAAUCUCUCCCUCGAGUUAAGUUUGCUGGGCAAUGGCUUACUCCUAUCAUGUUUUUUUAGUUUGACCGAGGUGUACCUGGACGAACAAGGAACGUCCCAGCCACUGGCACCCUACUUUGUUUUCUGAUUUUUUUGGUCUUUGAGUUGAUUUGGUUGUGUGGCUGUGCUAGCGAUCCAGGUGGGUUGGGUUGCUGUUUGGUUGGAGAUGUUGGUGCUGUUUGAGACGCCCACUGGGUUCUCCGUUUUCCAGGUUCUGAAUGAGGGCAAGCUCGACAAGACCGAGGAUCUAUGGAAGGAGUUCACCACGUCAGAACUCCGCGAGAAAGGUUUCUGCUUAAUUUCUUAUUCUUUUGCCCGCAAAAUAGCUGCUCUUUUCCAAACACAUAGUGAAUGAUCUAUCUAUCCCAUUAUAAUAGUGCAAGUCAGCAAAAGCCCUUUAUCUGAAUGAGCAAGAAUCUGUGGUGUGCCCCAGAGCUAUAUGUCCCGUCUCCAAAUGUUUAAAAAGGUUAUUUGUAUGGAUAUUAUCUUGAUGAUAAAGAAGGACCACAAGAUGAUGCAGAUGAACAUGUCUGCUGCCAGUACUGGCGUUUUUGUUUAUGCACUGAUGAUUAUAAUUCCAUAAUUUGUAAUGAUUUUGUGCUUAUGUACAGAAGAUUGACAAUAAUGAUUUUCUGCGUGACAUUGCUACUAGAAAGUGUGAUGCAUAUAUUGUAUGCGUUUAUGUACUGAAGAUUAAGUUUUCUGAAUUUAUAUGAAUAGUCGGAUGUUAGUGCUGUGCA
Molecule: long non-coding RNA, 1559 nt
Organism: Triticum dicoccoides
Lineage: Eukaryota; Viridiplantae; Streptophyta; Magnoliopsida; Poales; Poaceae
Exons: 2
Source: RefSeq, a predicted model, not a curated record